GUUAUAUGGUCAAGUGAAGAAGCGCAUACGGUGGAUGCCUUGGCAGUCAGAGGCGAUGAAAGACGUGGUAGCCUGCGAUAAGCUUCGGGGAGUCGGCAAACAGACUUUGAUCCGGAGAUCUCUGAAUGGGGGAACCCAACCAGCACAAGCUGGUUAUCUUGCACUGAAUACAUAGGUGCAAGAGGCGAACCAGGGGAACUGAAACAUCUAAGUACCCUGAGGAAAAGAAAUCAACCGAGAUUCCCUUAGUAGUGGCGAGCGAACGGGGACUAGCCCUUAAG
RNAcentral lists this ribosomal RNA (281 nucleotides) under Mesorhizobium sp. Its description in RNAcentral is "partial 23S ribosomal RNA". It matches the Rfam family "Bacterial large subunit ribosomal RNA", at positions 1 to 275 of the family's 2925-position model. The record is from RNAcentral. Lineage: Bacteria; Pseudomonadati; Pseudomonadota; Alphaproteobacteria; Hyphomicrobiales; Phyllobacteriaceae.